UUUUUUUUUUUUCUUUUUUAGAUGAGGCUUUUGUCAUGUUGGCUGGGCUGGUUUUCAACUCGUGGCCUCAAGUGAUCCACCCACCUCAGCCUUCUAAAGUGCUGGGAUUAUAGGCAUGAACCACCACACCAGCUUCUGAAUGGUCUUUAUCUGACUUCCUCUGGAAACAAAACCUGGAACAUGGAUUCUACUAUAAAUAGUUCAUUUGAGAGGUGAUCUCAGGAAACCCUGGGAGCUGAUUCAGAGAGCAGGACAGGGAAGUGGAAGAAGUCAAUAAAGGACGUGUUACUAAGCACUGCAGAGCUCCAUGCCACUGAGAAACUCCACUGGAGCUCCACCUCACUGAGAAACUCUAAGACACAGAGUAGAAUACGACUUAGAGUUAUCCCAACCAACAGGCAAGGAAGCUGGGGUGUUUACCCAUCAACUCUCCCAUUCAUCAUUGUUUGAGGGCUGAUCUCAGGGACAUCAACUAUCCAGCACGUCUGGCCUGCCCUCCUGCACUGUGUAUGGGCUGUGCAUGCUGCCAAGCCAGAGCACAGAGGGUCACAGGCCUUGGGAGUGUGGGGUGCAUACUAAUUGGAUGUGGGUGGGUCACUGACAGCACCACUGCAUUGCCUCCCUUCUCCCUUUCCCAACAGAGGCCUGCGAUAACUUUCCAAAGUGCAAAUCUGAUUAUGACACUCCCCCAGUCAAUUAAAGCAUAUGUGGAUGAUGCUAAAGAUCUACCUUGCUUAUUUCGCCUGAUGCAGGUGACUGGAGUGGUGCCAAGCCAUCUGACCCUGGGCACCUUUGGCAUACCUUCUGCAGGUGGUCAAAGCUUGGACUGGAUUUUCAGUAACUGUCUGUGAAUUAAAUGAAGAGAUAGCUUUAUUCAUAUAUUUAUAAUUAAAACCUGUUUAUUUACAGAACAGGUUGGGAAGGGAAGAGAUAAACGAUCGCCUGUGGUUUGGGGCCCAAUGGUGCAGCCCCUCUCCUCUCAACAGCUUUGCUGACCCCUUCUCGACAGUGCAGAGCCUCUCCCCUGUGCUUCUGUCACUGCACCAAAGCCACUCGUGGCAGCACUUUGUUCUUCUUUAUGCAGUCACAUUAUCUGGGAAUCUCAAUGUGAUUUACAAGCUUACAUAACUUCCCAAAUGAGUCAGCAUGCUCAUCAAGAAGGCAGCAUGGUGUCGUGGAAAGAACAGGGCAUUUGGUGCCAGAUAGAACAAGUUCAAUUCCUGCAUCUGCCACUUCCUAACUGUGUCUAGACAAGUUAUUCUACCUCCCCCAGCCUGUUUCUUCCUCUAACAAAUGGAGAUGAGAAUAUCUACCUAGGAGUGUUAUUAUAAGGAUGAAGGGAGGUAAGAAACACUCAGAGUGCGAUCAGCAUUUGCUUCUCCCAUCCUAUAUCCUGAUUUACACAUCUAGCAGCAAAUUCUUGAACCUUACUGACAUGUAGUGAGUAGAAAAUGCUGAUUUAUCUUCGUCUGCUUUUAGCACCAGUGAAUUUUCGAUGAAAGUUUAAAUCACUUAUUUGUAAAGGAAAAAUUGGUCUUGCUCUACUCUGGGCAAAGCAGGCACAGUGCAUGUGAAAUAAAUCAGCACCAGAGAGGGAUGUGGUGCUCUAGGUAGGGCAGUGCAGGCACAGCCUGGCUCAGGCCUGGCCGGACUGCAGUGGCAGCCAAAGAUCACUGGCUUUCAGAGGAAACUUUGGGAGCAUGCAGUAAGACAGACAGCCUGACAAACAAAAUGUCCAGGAGAGGAUGUGGGAUCCAAUCCAAAUAGCUGCUUACCACAGUGGGAAGCGAUUAGGAAUGGUGUUGCAGAAUGCCUUUCGCCAGACAAAGCAGCAGCAUAUGAAUGAGGAUGCUGCUGUGCUGGUCAGGGCUGGGGAUAGUUCUGGAACUGUUUUUCCCAAGCGGUUAAAACAAAUGCAAGCUUAAAAAUAAAAUAAAAUAAAAUCCCUGGUUA
Molecule: long non-coding RNA, 1953 nt
Organism: Macaca fascicularis (crab-eating macaque)
Lineage: Eukaryota; Metazoa; Chordata; Mammalia; Primates; Cercopithecidae
Source: Ensembl